ACGGGUGCGUAACGCGUGGGAAUCUGCCCUUUGGUUCGGAAUAACAGUUGGAAACGACUGCUAAUACCGGAUGAUGACGUAAGUCCAAAGAUUUAUCGCCAGAGGAUGAGCCCGCGUAGGAUUAGCUAGUUGGUGUGGUAAGAGCGCACCAAGGCGACGAUCCUUAGCUGGUCUGAGAGGAUGAUCAGCCACACUGGGACUGAGACACGGCCCAGACUCCUACGGGAGGCAGCAGUGGGGAAUAUUGGACAAUGGGCGAAAGCCUGAUCCAGCAAUGCCGCGUGAGUGAUGAAGGCCUUAGGGUUGUAAAGCUCUUUUACCCGGGAUGAUAAUGACAGUACCGGGAGAAUAAGCUCCGGCUAACUCCGUGCCAGCAGCCGCGGUAAUACGGAGGGAGCUAGCGUUGUUCGGAAUUACUGGGCGUAAAGCGCACGUAGGCGGCUUUGUAAGUUAGAGGUGAAAGCCUGGAGCUCAACUCCAGAAUUGCCUUUAAGACUGCAUCGCUUGAAUCCAGGAGAGGUGAGUGGAAUUCCGAGUGUAGAGGUGAAAUUCGUAGA
RNAcentral lists this ribosomal RNA (557 nucleotides) under Sphingomonas sp. LDB-B014. RNAcentral's name for it is "bacterial SSU rRNA". It matches the Rfam family "Bacterial small subunit ribosomal RNA", at positions 102 to 694 of the family's 1533-position model. RNAcentral also lists the same sequence under 5 other names. Lineage: Bacteria; Pseudomonadati; Pseudomonadota; Alphaproteobacteria; Sphingomonadales; Sphingomonadaceae. The record is from RNAcentral.